UCUGUUUGUAUAAUUUGAGACUUAUGAAUGCAUCUAUAAUAAAUUGUUGAUAUUAUUUGUGCAGUACAUUUGUUCUUUUCUCCAUCUUUUCUUGUCUGUUGAAUCCGUAUAUUUGUGGUGCUCUAGGCUCGUCGUGGUGGAGUGGAUGAGCCAUUUGCUUGGGAAAGCAGGGAGUAUCUGAGGAAACUCUGCGUAGGAAAGGAGGUCACAUUUAGAGUGGAUUACACUGCUCCUAACAUCGGACGAGUAUUUGGCACUGUCUACCUUGGCGACAAGAACGUUGCCUACUUGGUGGUUGCUGCAGGAUGGGCAAGGGUGAAGGAGCAAGGCCCCAAGGGGGGUGAACCACUCCCAAAUGUCUCUGAGCUUCUGAGGUUCUAGGAAGUUGCUAAGCAACUUCC
Molecule: long non-coding RNA, 401 nt
Organism: Triticum aestivum (bread wheat)
Lineage: Eukaryota; Viridiplantae; Streptophyta; Magnoliopsida; Poales; Poaceae
Exons: 3
Source: RefSeq, a predicted model, not a curated record